Molecule: ribosomal RNA, 429 nt
Filed under: Chloroflexota bacterium
Lineage: Bacteria; Bacillati; Chloroflexota
Description: Chloroflexi bacterium partial 16S ribosomal RNA
Rfam family: Bacterial small subunit ribosomal RNA
Source: RNAcentral
UGGGGAAUAUUGCACAAUGGGCGCAAGCCUGAUGCAGCCAUGCCGCGUGUAUGAAGAAGGCCUUCGGGUUGUAAAGUACUUUCAGCGGGGAGGAAGGGAGUAAAGUUAAUACCUUUGCUCAUUGACGUUACCCGCAGAAGAAGCACCGGCUAACUCCGUGCCAGCAGCCGCGGUAAUACGGAGGGUGCAAGCGUUAAUCGGAAUUACUGGGCGUAAAGCGCACGCAGGCGGUUUGUUAAGUCAGAUGUGAAAUCCCCGGGCUCAACCUGCGAACUGCAUCUGAUACUGGCAAGCUUGAGUCUCGUAGAGGGGGGUAGAAUUCCAGGUGUAGCGGUGAAAUGCGUAGAGAUCUGGAGGAAUACCGGUGGCGAAGGCGGCCCCCUGGACGAAGACUGACGCUCAGGUGCGAAAGCGUGGGGAGCAAACAGG